Molecule: long non-coding RNA, 821 nt
Filed under: Panax ginseng (ginseng)
Lineage: Eukaryota; Viridiplantae; Streptophyta; Magnoliopsida; Apiales; Araliaceae
Description: long non-coding RNA (PGIN_LNC007690)
Source: RNAcentral
AAAAUAGUAGUCAUCUAUAUAAUAAUACACAACCAUUUUUGAAUCUAUUCCCGCUUAACAUUUGAGAAACCACAACAAAGGUCCAGAUUUCAUCUUACUUAAUCUAAUGGUCAGAUCUCAUUACAGACAAAAAAAAAACCGCCCAAAUCAGACUAAGCCUCCUUCCCGUGUACUCUACUGUCUCCUUCCCUUCAAAAUUCCCCCAAAUCAAAAUCCUCACACUCGACUAUCUCCUUCCCUUCAAAACCCCCCAAAUCAAAAUUAGCCUUCUUCCAAAAACUAUUCCUACUCCCGUUCUCCCGUUCUCUUCCAACGCUACUCGGUGCUCAAGCGACGGCGCCGGCGAUGGCAAUCGGAGGUUGACGGCGCCGAUGGCACACAGUAAUGGUUCAGUUAAAAUUUAAAUUUUAUGCCCUGUAAAUUAAUUGUUCAAUUCGUGAACGGCGCCGACUGUUGAUUGCUUCAUUUUUUGGUUUCUUUUGAAUACAGAAACUUCAGUGGGUGAUGUUCAAUUGGUUUCUUUUGAAUACAGAAACUUUGUGAACGGCGCCGACUGUUCAAUUCGUUAACUCAUCUUCUCUCUCUCCUCUCACAAACCCACCUUCCAAAAGACUCUCACUCUGCAUCCCCAAAGUUUCUGCCAAGCAGGCUGCUGCUACUACCGGAGCUGUAGAGGACUCGCCUGACAAUUUUACAUUGUAGGGUGUGUUUUCUUUCCCCUUUAUUCUCUUUGUUGGCAUGUUGGGAGUUCCAUUUUUAGUGAUGGUUAAUUUGUUGUGGCCCAUUUGGUUGUAUUGGUUCCUUCUAUCAAAGAAAUUAAA